GUUAUACUGUAAGGGUAAAGAAAUUUAAUUUUUAAUUGAGAAGUUGAAAAAGGAAAGGAAAAAUUUUCUUUUAAGGUAGAAUUAGAAGAGGAUAAUUCUUUCAAAAUUUAAGCUUUAGAAAUUCAAAAGUGAAACUAGGAUUAGAUACCCUAUUAUUAUUGAGAUAAAGAAAAUUAGGUAGUAGUAGAUGUCUUGAAACUUAAAGAAUUUGGCGGUGUUUUAAUCUUACCAGAGGAACUUGCGUUAUAACUCGAAAUUACUCGUCUAAUCUUACUUGAAUUUAGUUUGUAUAUCGUCGUAAAAAUAAAACUUUAAAGUGUAUAUUUAAAAUUAUUAAAUUAAAAAUUACAGAUCAAGGUUCAGCUGUAUUUAAGAAAACGUGAGUUACAAUAUUUUAGAAGUAAAUGGAUAAUUUUUUGGAAGAAGAAUUUGAAGGUGGAUUUGGAAGUAUGUUGAGAUGAAU
This 463-nucleotide ribosomal RNA is filed under the name Androctonus amoreuxi. Its description in RNAcentral is "partial 12S ribosomal RNA". Lineage: Eukaryota; Metazoa; Arthropoda; Arachnida; Scorpiones; Buthidae. The record is from RNAcentral.